UUGCUGUAAUGUACAUUUUACAACUGAAACUAGGUUUAAAAUUAGCACUGGAUUUCAUUUUCAUUUGUAUAUUGUGUGUUUUUUGUUCUAGACCCAGCCAAUGAUUCUUUGCCGUACGAGGCUGCAGUUGACAUUAAUGAGUUGAUCCAAGUCAGUGAAGUGAUGGAAUCCAACAAAAUAGGGCCAAAUGGAGCACUUGUGUUUUGCAUGGAAUUUCUUGAACAAAACUUAGAAUGGCUUAUAUCAAAACUUAAAGCUCUUCCAGGCCACUACUUCAUAUUUGAUUUUCCAGGCCAGGCUGAAUUGUAUUCCCAUCACACAAUGGUUCGGAACAUAUUAUCAAGUUUGGAGAAGUCUGACCUUAGACUGUGUGCAGCUUACCUAGUUGAUUCCCACUAUGCCAAUGAUCCAGG
Long non-coding RNA from Macrobrachium nipponense, 413 nucleotides. RefSeq lists it as uncharacterized. NCBI's taxonomy places the organism in Eukaryota, Metazoa, Arthropoda, Malacostraca, Decapoda, Palaemonidae. The transcript has 2 exons. The record is from RefSeq and is a predicted model, not a curated record.